GAAGAAUUAGAAAUAUUAGAAUAUAAAAUACUUUUAUCUAUGAACUUUAAAAUCUUAGAAGCAAACUGAACUAUCUUGGUGUUCAGCCUGCAGAACAGAUAGCUGUGUAAAAGAGCUAGCCACGACAUUAGACUGGAUUAACAUUUUUUUUUAACCUCAAAACCUAUAUAGUCUCAGGAAACACCAGUAUGCUCAGAGGAAGCAGUUCUCACACAGCUACGACAGGGAGAGAAGGAUGUGUACAUGUAUAGAAAUCCUAUGCUGAGUUGAGGGAGGAAUUAGGUGAAGAAAUGGCAGCCAGCGUCUUUGGUCCAAGCCCAGAGCCAUCGUCUCCUCAUCUAGGAACAGGAAAAGCCAUCUCAAAGGGUCCCACUGCUACUUUUGAAUUCAAGGACAUGCACUGCUCUGUUAGUGGAGGUCUGGAAUCACCCGGGCCCAGUUUUCUAGCUUCACAGUCUCCAGCUAAAUAACUCACCAGCUAUCCAAUCAACCAACUAACCAAUCUUCCAGUUACCCUGAGUAUUUAAGGGCUCCAGCCCCUGUUUCUACAGAGAGUAAGCAGGAGAAUCAAACUGAUAUGUGCUGAGCACUUUACCUAGAAGACCUAAUCCUCCUAACAGGCCUAUGAGGUAAGUAGAGUGAUCUUUUCUCAAUUAGCAAACAGCAGCUACAUUUAACUGAAGGCUGACUGGCACGUUCAGGGUCACAUGCCAGGUUUAUGGGGGACUCAGGACUAUCCAAAUCCUGAAGGCCAUGCUUUUCUUUGUAAUGUUUCAGUAAAUGUUCCAAGUCAGAUUUGCAUUUACUUAGGCUUUUAAGACUGACUAUAACACAUAUAACUUGAUGAUCAUGAGUUAUUUUCUUUGAAAACCAGAGUAGGCUGGGCACGGUGGCUCACGCCUGUAAUCUCAGCACUUUGG
This 920-nucleotide long non-coding RNA is filed under the name Homo sapiens (human). RNAcentral's name for it is "HSALNT0381359". Lineage: Eukaryota; Metazoa; Chordata; Mammalia; Primates; Hominidae. The record is from RNAcentral.